UGGGGAAUAUUGCACAAUGGGCGCAAGCCUGAUGCAGCCAUGCCGCGUGUAUGAAGAAGGCCUUCGGGUUGUAAAGUACUUUCAGUCGGGAGGAAGGUGUCAAGGUUAAUAACCUUAUCAAUUGACGUUACCGACAGAAGAAGCACCGGCUAACUCCGUGCCAGCAGCCGCGGUAAUACGGAGGGUGCAAGCGUUAAUCGGAAUUACUGGGCGUAAAGCGCACGCAGGCGGUUGAUUGAGUCAGAUGUGAAAUCCCCGGGCUUAACCCGGGGAUUGCAUCUGAUACUGGUCAGCUAGAGUCUUGUAGAGGGGGGUAGAAUUCCAUGUGUAGCGGUGAAAUGCGUAGAGAUGUGGAGGAAUACCGGUGGCGAAGGCGGCCCCCUGGACAAAGACUGACGCUCAGGUGCGAAAGCGUGGGGAGCAAACAGG
This 429-nucleotide ribosomal RNA is filed under the name Chloroflexota bacterium. Its description in RNAcentral is "Chloroflexi bacterium partial 16S ribosomal RNA". It matches the Rfam family "Bacterial small subunit ribosomal RNA", at positions 355 to 776 of the family's 1533-position model. The record is from RNAcentral. Lineage: Bacteria; Bacillati; Chloroflexota.